CGGCGACGCCGAGCGGAACCCGAAAACCUAGUCUCAGUUCGGAUCGGAGUCUGCAACCCGACUCCGUGAAGCUGGAUUCGCUAGUAAUCGCGCAUCAGCCAUGGCGCGGUGAAUACGUUCCCGGGCCUUGUACACACCGCCCGUCAAGCCAUGGAAGCCGGGGGUGCCUGAAGUGUGCAGCCGCAAGGAGCGCCCUAAGGUAAAACCGGUGACUGGGGCUAAGUCGUAACAAGGUAAC
Molecule: ribosomal RNA, 238 nt
Filed under: uncultured bacterium
Lineage: Bacteria
Description: partial 16S ribosomal RNA
Rfam family: Bacterial small subunit ribosomal RNA
Source: RNAcentral